AGCUCAUAUAAGGUAAAAGGCAGAGUGGCCUCUGUGGCCAGGGAGCCGCAGGCAAGGGACUAAGGGGAGGGGGGCUCAGUGCCAGCUGCUUAAAAAUGCCCCUGUGGCAGCGAGGGGCACCAGAGGCUGGGUCUAAUUAGUUGAGAAGCAGUGACACCCCCAACCACUCCCCAAACAGGCUGGCUCCCGUCUCCAGGCCCCAAGGAGCCACACCUGGACCAGACCCCAGGAAAGGCAAGGGCACUAGCUGGUGGGAGCCACCCCGCCAUGCUGAUGUCAGAGAAGCAAGAACUCUGGAGAAGCAGCCUCCUGGGACCAGAGGAGGGCCAGCAGCAGGCAGCCCGGAGACAGAACUCUCACCCACGCCUCUCCAAGCCUCCCGACAGAAGACAGAGGUCCCCCACAGCCAGAGACAUUUCCUGAAGACAUGGGGAACACAGAGGCAGAAACAGCCCAUCCACCCAGGAGCUGUCCCCCACACUGCCGGGAGCCGGCACCCAGAGCCGCCAGGUAAAACUGAGGCCACCUGGUUCAACAUCGCCUUUCAUAGAAGGGGAAGCAGCCACAGAAAGAAGGGCCUGGUAAGAAGUGGAACCUGGGACCCCCAAGCGGUGUCUCUCAUCCUGACUGGGGAUCCAGAGUAGGAGGGAGCCUUUGGUGGGGUAAGUGGAAUGGGGCAGUGGGGGUGGCCAUAGACCCCUCUUCUCAGUAAGGCCCUCAUGUGAAGGAGGCAGGGGUUGGGACAAGUGCUAAGUAUGCAAGACUCAAGGGAAGAGCUGCUGGAGCCAGGGGAAGCACCUCCCUCCCGGCCCCUCUGCCCCUCCUCAUAGCCCAGCUGCACUGACUCCUCCUCCAGGAAGCCUUCUCAGCUUCCCCAGGGGUGGGAACCUUUUCGUCCUCCAGGUGUGCUUGGCUGUCCUUUCUUGGGCUCUCUCUCUCUCUCUCCUCAUCCCACUUGAGUCUGCCCCCUAUUCACCUUGUGAGGGGAAUUUCCUUCUACUCAAUCUGACCGAGGUCCUCCAGGUCAAGGACGGCGUGGCUCUCAGUCCCACUUCCCCUUGGCACAUAGAAGAGGCAGUGCGCUGAAGGGACAGGUGAAAUGAUUAGACCCUGCCCCCAAACCAAGGCCUGGCCAAUUGGACAGGGCAUGAGACAUUCAGCGUAGAGGUUAAAAUGAGGGCCCUGGGUUAGGAACCCCAGCUCAGUUCUCAGCUCUGUACCCUUGGAAAAUUCCCUUCCCAUGGAGCUUUGUGAAUGCACAGGGACUUGCACAAAGAAAACAUUCAAUAUCCAGGACUAUAAAAUUCCACAAAUGACUGUGCUUAUUACAUUCAUUAUCACGAUGAUUAUUCCAGACACAAAGGAACAGAACGAGGCACCAACAGCAAGGGGCAAGCAGAUUCAAGGGCCACAGAGGAGAUGGAGGCAAACACCUUCCCCUGGUCAGAGGCUGUGCCUCAGCCCUUCUCCCUGCAUCAGUUUCUCCUUCAGAAGCAUGGGACUACCUCCCAUCUAGUUCUCGUUUCUAAACCCAGGGGAGAUGCUAUCUUUGCUGCAAUAAUCUUAGCCUACAUCUUGGAAUGGAAAUGGCCUUGGUGGAAAUGGUCUUCAACUCCUCUGGUCCAAGCUCAGGCCCUGUGACCCUGGAACAAUCCCCUUCCUGGUCCUCCAUGUAGGAGCAAUAACAUUCCCUUGCCAGCGGCACCAGCCAUUCUGAUGAUUAAAUGGUAUCGGACUCUGUUUUCCAAACUCAGUCAUUCAGAUGCCCCCUAUUUUAUUUCUUCCAUGUCUGCAAAUGAUUAUAAUAUUUUAAAAUGUAAGAUGAGUCCUUUUUAUUACACAUAGAAAUAGCUACUGUAAAUAGCAAACUCUAACACUGUGCCUAAUUAGGAAAUAAAGGUAACCAUAAAUACAGUAAAAAUGAAACAAUGUUAUUAUGCUUUAACCUGAUAGUGUGGCUUGCAAGGCCCUGGGCCUGAAGCCUGGGCAAUAAGUGAGAGUUAGAAAGGUGUCAAAGACAUGAUAGCAGCAAACUGAGGCUUUGUACCCCACGGUAAAUAGGACUGAAAGCAAAUUCACAGGGAGCAACUGAUCCAUUCCACAACAGAAUGCUCCCUGUCAAUUUGCUUUCCAUUCUGUUGUGUCCUGUCUCCCAGCAGAGACUACAAACUCCCCAAAACCACUUACCCACCAGCUGCACGUGAGAAGCCAAAGGUAGUUUAUGUGAAAGGGCUUUGGAAAUAAUCACGCACCAAGUGAAGGCAGAGGACACACCUUGUCAGCUUAGUUCUCAGCAGCAAAUCAUCUCUUUUCCAGGAUAACCCUCCCUGAUUCUUAUUGAAAUCUCUUUGCUGAUCACACUAAGCUCUUCUCUCUCAGGGGCAGUGGGAGCCGUGGAGAGUGGAGUAGACCAGCUGUCUGUGACCUGCAAGGGAGUCCAAUGUCAGAAUCACUCCCCAGCCAAAUGCACGGUUUUAAAAAAUCUAUUUAUUUAUUUAUGUAGAGACCAGGCUAUGAGACUGGCUAAUUUUUCGUAUUUUUGGAUAGAGACAGGAUUUCAUCAUGUUGCCCAGGCUGGUCUUGAACUCCUGGGCUCAAGCGAUCCACCUGCCUCGGCUUCCCAAAGUGCUCGGGAUUACAGGCGUGAGCCACUGUGCCCAGCCACCAAAUGCAGUUGAAAAGAGUUUCUGCAAGAUAAUUCCACAGAAGAGGAAAGCAGUUAUCUGGCUGGGAAUACCUUAGACAGAGGCUGUCCUCUACACAGGCUGUCAGAACUGACCUACUGACCUGCCUGCUGGCAUGAUAGACCAGAGGGAAACACUCUUUCCACUCUUCCCAGAGUGAGUGUAAGAGACAGACUUUUUUUUUUUUUUUGAGACGGAGUCUCACUCUGUCACCCAGGCUGGAGUGCAAUGGCAAGAUCUCGGCUCACUGCAACCUCCACCUCCCCAGGUUCAAACCAUUCUCCUGCCUCAGCCUCCCAGGUAGCUGGGAUUACAGGCUCCCGCCACCACGCCUGGCUAAUUUUUGUAUUUUUAGUAGAGACAGGGUUUCACCAUGUUGGCCGGGCUGGUCUCGAACUCCCAACCUCAGGUGAUCCGCCUACCUUGGCCUCCCAAAGGGUUGGGAUUACAGGUGUAAGCCACUGCUCCCAGCCUUUUUUUUUUUUUUUUUUUUUUAUUAGAGACAAGGGCUCCCCAUGUUGCCCAGGCUGAUCUUGAACUCUAGGCUCAAGCGAUCCUCCUGCCUGAGCCUCCCAAAGUGCUAGGAUUACAGGCAUGAGCACUGCUCCCAGCUCUGUUUUUAUUUUUUUAAGGAGGUAUAUUUUUUCUGUUCUCUCUCAGCCCUGAAGAAAGGCUACCCAUCCCCUUCAGACAUUCCUGAAAAUAUAUGUCAUCCAACAUCAAGGCCACCACAGUGACCACUAAGCAACGCAAGAAGGUCCUCUGGGGUGCCCUGAGAUCUUGGCAGGGCAGGAAGAGUGAGAAGGGGCUUUGCCUGCUCACCUGAAAGUUCCCACCCAAGCCGGGCCCAGAAAACAAAAUGAAUUAUCUACAUGGUCAUCCAAUCAGCCACCAAAUGGCAUUACCUGGGUCCAUCAUCAUGUACCAAGCCACAGGUCAGACCCAGGGCCCCCCUAAUUAACAAGACACAGGCACUGUCCUCAGGAAGUGGAGAUCUAGCCAGGUCAGACCCACACACAAAUAACACUGAUACUAGAGAUAAUGAGAUUGGGAAUUAUGAUUCAGCCAUUCAACCUGGGCUUAUGCGGCAUCUACACCACCUGGCCCUGAUUUCAGUAGUGAGCAGUUGACAGGGUCCCUUCCCUUCACAGGUGAGCCAUGUAGUCCACAAGUGGAGGUGGUCGUAAGUGAAAAGCACAUUACCAGCAUGGUAGAGGGUUAGAAAGAGGGCACAGGGUGGGCGAGAACAUGAAGCAGGGGGUGCUGAUGGCUAAAGAAGUCAAGGAGGGGCUGGGCACUGUGGUUCAUGCCUAUAAUCCCAGCACUUUGGGAGACCAAGGCGGGUGGAUCACCUGAGGUCAGGAGUUCUAGACCAGCCUGGGCAACGUGGUGAAACCCUGUCUCUACUAAAAAUACAAAAAUUAGCCAGGCAUGGUGGUGCACGCCUGUAGUCCCAGCUACUUGGGAGGCUGGGGCAUGAGAAUUGCUUUAACCCGGAAGGUGGAGUUUGCAGUGAGCCGAGAUCGUGUCACUGCACUCCAGCCUGGGCGACAGAGGGAGACUCUGUCUCAAAAAAAAAAAAGUCAAGGAGGGUUUCCCAGAGUGGCCACUUGAUUAGAGACCUAGCACAGGAGGAAGAGAUGGGCAGGGAGAGUGACGGGGAGCAGCACAGUCCCUGGGAGCCCGAAGUGGGUGGGCACAGGGCUCCCUAGGAGAAUGGAAGGACAUCUAUGAGCUGUAGCCCAAGAGGAAGAGGUCACUGAGGCUAGAUGUGGCAGACCCUCGCGGGCUUUGGGGAGGGCUUCACAAUUCAGCCUGAGGGCAAUGGGGAGCCCUUUUGGGAUAUUAAACUUGAGAAAAUAUGAGCAUAUUUGCAUCUUGAAAAAUCAUUAUGGGAAGAUGGCUGGGAAGAGAGGAGGAGUGGCAGAAGAAAGAUAGGUUGGAGACAAUUGAUUGUUCGAUGAUAUAAAAUGUUAAGUACCGUGAAUGAUGCUGUUUGGCUGGAAUGCACCAAGCAUAAAGGUGGGGCAUGGCAUCAAAAGGUAGGUCAACAUAUUAAAUAAUUCCAUGUAUUGAAAUAUCCAGAAAAUAUAUAGACAGAUCUAUAGAGAUAGAAACUGGUCUGCCCAGGACUAGGGGUUGUCUAAGGAUAAGGAGUUUCUUUUUUGGAUGGUGAAAUAACCUAAAAUAUAUUGUGCCAUUGUUUGCAAAACUUUGUGAAUAUAUUAAAAACCUGUUAAUUGUACUCACUAAAUGUUCUCCUUCUAAAUUAAGCUGUUCUUGACAAGAAAAGGAAAGAAACAAAGAAAAGAAGAGAAAAAAGGUCAAGGUUUGGUCCUGGGUGCUCAAAUGGCAGGCCACAGACAGGAAACACAGUUGUGAGGAAUUACAACAGCCUCCCGACCAGAGCUGGAGAGGUGGAGCCCAGGUCCCCUCUAACACCCCUUCUCCUGGCCAGGUUGGAGUCCCGCCACAGGCCACCAGAGCGGAGCAGCGCAGCGCCCUGUCUCCCAGCCUGAGGUGCAGUGCUGCAUCUCUGGUCAGUUGGGAGUCUGAGAUGAAGCACUGUAGCUCAGGAAGAGAGAAGUUUUUCUGCAGCCAUCAGCCUGGAAGUGGUAAGUGCUGGGGGGUUGUGGGGGGCCAUACCAGGAAGGACAGAGUGUUUCCAGACUCCAUACUAUCAGCCACUUGUGAUGCUGGGGAAGUUCCUCUACACAAGUUCCCCUGGUGCCACAAUCUGCUUCACGAGUCUGGGCAUGUCCUGACUCCUCUGUGUACCCCAGUGUGUCCAUCUUAGCAUGAGGCGUUAGCAUUUCCCCAGCACCCUGCCUCUGCUUUCUCUUUCUGAGCCCAUGGCAGACACAGCUAAUCAGUAAAGGCAUAUAUUCUUUUUUUUUUGAGACACAGUCUCACUCCAUCACCCAGGCUGGAGUGCAGUGGCAUAAUCUCAGCUCAUUGCAACCUCCUCCUCCCAGGGUCAAGCAAUUCUCGUGCCUCAGCCUCCCAAGUAGCUGAGAUUACAGGUGUGCGCCACCACGCCUGGCUAAUUUUUGUAUUUUUAGUAGAGAUGGGGUUUCACUAUGUUGGCCAGGCUGGUCUCAAACUCCUGACUUCAGGUGAUCUGCCCGCCUCGGCCUCCCAAAGUGCUGGGAUUACAGGCAUGAGCCUCCACGCCCCGCCAGGCAUCCAUUCUUGAAGUGCUCAGAUGCAGCUUCAGAAUCCUCAACAAUGAGCCCUGGAAAGCCACUAGUACUGAUUCACAGCUGAAACUCAUUCAUCAUUUGUGGAUCAAACAAUUCCUAAAAACCCUUUCAGCCCUGAAGAUAAAAAUUCUGGCCUUUGAGUCAGGGUCUUCACUCUGUACUUCUAACCUUGGCUCCGGGGUAUUGCCAAAACCAGUCCAGGCACGUCACAAAUGUCUGACUUCUCCCAGAGGCUUCAGAAGCACAAUGAGCAGCAGAGGAGAGCCAUGGAGCCAAGCACAGUCUCAUUUAACCUCCCCAAAAGCUUGGGAAGUGGGUGGUGUUAUAGCCCCAUUUUACAGAUGAGAAAAACGAGGCUUAUUUAAGCAGCUCACCUAAAGUCACAUAUUGAUUGUGCUGAGCUGAGAUUGUACCCUAAUCUGCCUUCAAAUCCAUGUUUUUACCCAUUGCAUGUGAUUAUGGAACCUGGGACCGAGGAGCAGGAGGAGAACAUUCUAAAUUCUGCUCCCAUCUUGUCUUUACAUCUCAGGUCACUUUUAGCAAGGACAGACCCAGACACUUGCCGUUAAUACUACAGGCUUCCUUCCUCCUACCCCCUUCCCCCAAUCUUAUUCAUCUCACCUCUCCAGUAGGUCAUAGACUCAUGCAUUUUAUAAUUAAAGAAGGCCAAGGCUCAGGGGUUAAGUGACUUACUGGAGGUUAUCAGAGAGGAAGCUGCCAAACCCAGGCUAGGAACUGAAUGGUUGGUUUAAAUCCACCCCUCUGGCAGGAGACUGGGGAAUACACAUGAGCCAUGCAGACAGCAGAGGGCAGUCCUGGGGGUGGGGGCGCCAGAGGGUUUCCGGUACUUUUCAGGGCAAUUGAAGUUCCGGUCACUACUCCCCCCCAGAGCAAUAAGCCACAUCCGGCGACGUGUGGCACCCCACCCUGGCUGCUACAGAUGGGGCUGGAUGCAGAAGAGAACUCCAGCUGGUCCUUAGGGACACGGCGGCCUUGGCACUGAAGGCCACUCGCUCCCACCUUGUCCUCACGGUCCAGUUUUCCCAGGAAUCCCUUAGAUGCUAAGAUGGGGAUUCCUGGAAAUACUGUUCUUGAGGUCAUGGUUUCACAGCUGGAUUCGCCUCCUUCCCACCCCACAGCUGCCCCCCAAUGGGGCCUCGGCUGGCUCACAGGAUGAGGGUUCAAGAAGAAGGCUGUCCCUGGAGGUAAGAGGGCUCAUGAACCAUGUUCCAAACCUUUGCGUUGCUUUUCUUUCCAUCGUGUCUAUUUCAUAACAUCCCUGUGAGGCUGGAUGUGGGAACUUCAGCACUGCCGUACUCUUGGGAAAUUUGUCCAAGGCCACCCGGCUGAGCAGCGGUUGAACCAGGACACCAUCAGGCAUGCGUUUCUUGUCUCCACCACACCCUCAACCCACUUCCCAACGCGCCUUGCGACAGGGGCUGCGGUAUUGCAUCCACAUGACUGAUAAACUAGUAAACACACAUGAAUUCAUUUUAAAAGUGUAUUCAAUCAGUUAGGUAAACUAAAAACCUCAAGUCUUCGUUCGAUUUGGAAUGCAGCCAGAGAACAAAUGGAAAAUUUUUCAAGGUAGAGAAGAUGAAAACUCAGAACGCCCUCUUGUGGCAUCUCUACCCACCCCAGGAACACUAUGGCUCUUCCCCUACACACGGUGAUUGCUAACCUUGCUACAAGACAUAGGACACACACACACACACACACACACACACACACACACUGAGGUUCCUUUUGCUCCCUCACUUUUGAGCCAGUGACUACUGAAACCCUCUCCAUUGUUGCACCACCAGCAAUGCCCCCAUCACUUCCUCUCGUUUACUUCCACAGGCUGGUUCAUCCUCAAAGCCCUCCUUACGUAGAUCUGUGGGAUCAGUGAGGCUCAGAGAGGUAAAGUGGCCAGCCCAAGGUCGCCCAGACAGCAAAAGGCAGGGCCAGCGCUGAUUUCAAGUCCAAUGGCCUAUGGCAAUUUCUUAGCCAAAAGCAAAAUCUACAAAAAUAAAAAGGCAGGCACAGUGGUGAGUGCCCACAGUCCCAGCUACUGAGGAGGCCGACGGGGGAGGACCACUUGAGCUUGGGAGUUCCCGGCUGCAGAGAGCUAUGAUUGUGCCUGUGAAUAGCCAAUGCACUCCAGCCUGAGCAAGAUAGGGAGACCCUGUCUCUAAAAAAUACCUAAAUAAUUUUAAAAGUCAGCCUCUCUGACUGCCUAUAGAGAAUGCUAACUGACUGAAUGACAAAAGACCUAAUGUAAUCCAGGUGCAAAAUCAGAACUUUCCGGCCGGGCGCGGUGGCUCACGCCUGUAAUCCCAACACUUUGGGAGGCCCAGGCGGGUGGAUCACGAGGUCAGGAGUUCAAGACCGGCCUGCCCAACAUGGCAAAACCCCGUCUCUACUAAAAAUACAAAAAAUUAACUGGGCGUGGUGGUGGGCACCUAUAAUCUCAGCUACUCAGGAGGCUGAGGCAGGAGAAUUGCUUGGACCCGGGAGGCAGAGGUUGCAGUGAGCUGAGAUCGCGCCACUGCACUCCAGCGUGGGCGACAAAAGUGAAACUCUGUCUCAAAAAAAAAAAAAAAUAGAACUUUCCCUGUACUCUUGCUAGGGCUUUUCAUGGAGUUGUAGAAACGGUAGUAAGUGCCAAGGCCCCAGAACCCGAAUGUUUGGGUCCGACUCCCACAUUGCCAGAGACUAGGCAGCUCACACAGGUGUCCCAAGCUGUCUUUCUCACAGGCCGCAUUGAAGGCGUUUAUGAAAUGAGACCCCCUCUUCCUCAUCCGUAGUGACAGGGCUGGCCUGACCGUGGAGAAAUCAGAUUUGAUCAUGAUAGCUUCCACUCCGUGACUGGUCACGACCUGCCAGGCGCUGUGCUAAACACUUUCAUAGGCCUUGUCCCCCUCCAUCCUGAUAACACCCCAGUGAAGCAGGCCCUGCUCUUCACUCCACUCCACAAAGCCAAGGCUGAGAGAGGUUAACAGACUUACCUAAGGUCACACAGCUAAGAAGUCGUGAAGCUGGGAUCGAAUCAAGUCUGUGUUUAUGGGUUUAACUAUCAUGUUGUGGCCCCAACCCCAUUUGGCCUAGCCUGGCUGGUGGGCCUUCUUGCAGUAGCUUCCCCUGGAGAAGAGGAAAAGCAAACCUUCAUUGAGACCCAAGCGGUCUCUCCUGUGCUCUGUGACAAUAAUAAAGUUCUGGCCCUUG
Molecule: long non-coding RNA, 9094 nt
Organism: Pan troglodytes (chimpanzee)
Lineage: Eukaryota; Metazoa; Chordata; Mammalia; Primates; Hominidae
Gene: CARMN
Exons: 3
Source: RefSeq, a predicted model, not a curated record